This 464-nucleotide ribosomal RNA is filed under the name uncultured bacterium. RNAcentral's name for it is "partial 16S ribosomal RNA". It matches the Rfam family "Bacterial small subunit ribosomal RNA", at positions 339 to 795 of the family's 1533-position model. The record is from RNAcentral.
CUACGGGACGCUGCAGUGGGGAAUAUUGCACAAUGAGCGAAAGCUUGAUGCAGCCAUACCGCGUGUGUGAAGAAGGCCCGAGGGUUGUAAAGCACUUUCAAUUGGGAGGAAGAUAGAGUAGUUAAUACCUGCUUUAUUUGACGUUACCUUUAGAAGAAGCACCGGCUAACUCUGUGCCAGCAGCCGCGGUAAUACAGAGGGUGCAAGCGUUAUUCGGAAUUACUGGGCGUAAAGCGCGCGUAGGCGGAUUAGUAAGUCAGUUGUGAAAGCCCUGGGCUCAACCUAGGAACUGCAUCUGAUACUGCUAGUCUAGAGUUGAGUAGAGGGAAGGGGAAUUCCAGGUGUAGCAGUGAAAUGCGUAGAUAUCUGGAGGAACAUCAGUGGCGAAGGCGCCUUCCUGGACUAAAACUGACGCUGAGGUGCGAAAGCGUGGGUAGCGAACGGGAUUAGAUACCCGGGUAGUC